Molecule: ribosomal RNA, 404 nt
Filed under: Fusobacteriota bacterium
Lineage: Bacteria; Fusobacteriati; Fusobacteriota
Description: Fusobacteria bacterium partial 16S ribosomal RNA
Rfam family: Bacterial small subunit ribosomal RNA
Source: RNAcentral
UGGGGAAUAUUGCACAAUGGAGGGAACUCUGAUGCAGCGACGCCGCGUGAGUGAUGAAGGAAUUCGUUUCGUAAAACUCUGUUCUAUAGGAAGAAAAGGACUGUACCAUAGGAGAAAGCUCCGGCUAAAUACGUGCCAGCAGCCGCGGUAAUACGUAUGGAGCGAGCGUUGUCCGGAAUUAUUGGGCGUAAAGGGUGCGCAGGCGGCUUUACAAGUUGGAUGUGAAAUAAUGUGGCUCAACCACAAACGUGCAUCCAAAACUGCAAAGCUUGAGUUAAGGAGAGGUAAGUGGAAUUACUGGUGGAGCGGUGGAAUGCGUAGAUAUCAGGGGGAAUACCGGUGGCGAAGGCGACUUACUGGACUUAAACUGACGCUCAGGCACGAAAGCGUGGGGAGCAAACAGG